GCCAGCAUAGCUCAGGGGUUAGAGCAACUCUUUCGUAAAGAGGAGGUCGGGGGUUCAAAUCCCUCUGUUGGCU
This 73-nucleotide transfer RNA is filed under the name Candidatus Bathyarchaeota archaeon. RNAcentral describes it as "tRNA-Thr". It matches the Rfam family "tRNA". From Rfam's summary of the family: Transfer RNA (tRNA) molecules are approximately 80 nucleotides in length. Their secondary structure includes four short double-helical elements and three loops (D, anti-codon, and T loops). Further hydrogen bonds mediate the characteristic L-shaped molecular structure. tRNAs have two regions of fundamental functional importance: the anti-codon, which is responsible for specific mRNA codon recognition, and the 3' end, to which the tRNAs corresponding amino acid is attached (by aminoacyl-tRNA synthetases). tRNAs cope with the degeneracy of the genetic code in two manners: having more than one tRNA (with a specific anti-codon) for a particular amino acid; and 'wobble' base-pairing, i.e. permitting non-standard base-pairing at the 3rd anti-codon position. Lineage: Archaea; Thermoproteati; Candidatus Bathyarchaeota. The record is from RNAcentral.